UGUACUGCUCUAAAUUGCUAGAAGGUGCUAGUUGCAGAUAUUGCACUUCACUGAAUGCUCUUACCUGACUGUCACAAUAGUCUUUUUUCCUAACAAACAACUUUCAUCCACUCCUUGUUUAUUUUGCUAACCAUGCUUCUCGGGCAUGCAAUAUAAUUUGCAGUGAUAUGAUUGGGUUAUAUUUUGAUUUUUCACUGUCACUUGUUUGUCUUUUCUAGAGUAAAUGAGAAGAAGAAGUCUCAUAAUCCCUACAAGAAGCCGGCCCAGGCGCCUCCUCCCCCAAACCACCACAGUACCACCAUCUCAGGAGGAUCACAGGGACCAUUCCAAGUGCAGUUUGAAAAAAGUGCUCUUCACGA
Molecule: long non-coding RNA, 359 nt
Organism: Branchiostoma floridae (Florida lancelet)
Lineage: Eukaryota; Metazoa; Chordata; Leptocardii; Amphioxiformes; Branchiostomatidae
Exons: 2
Source: RefSeq, a predicted model, not a curated record